Molecule: long non-coding RNA, 11047 nt
Organism: Amphiprion ocellaris (clown anemonefish)
Lineage: Eukaryota; Metazoa; Chordata; Actinopteri; Pomacentridae
Exons: 12
Source: RefSeq, a predicted model, not a curated record
AACAGUUCCCACCUAUUUCCAGUCUUUGCAAAACUAGGCUAACAGUUCUAACCUGUUUCCAGUCUCUGUGCUAAGCUAACCGUUCCCACCUGUUUCCAGUCUUUGCGAAACUAGGCUAACAGUUCUAACCUGUUUCCAGUCUUUGUGCUGAGCUAGGCUAACAGUUCCACCUGUUUCCAGUUUGUGCGGUAAGCUAGGCUAACAGUUCCACCUUUUUCCAGUCUUUGCUAAACUAGGCUAACAGUUCUAACUGUUUCCAGUCUUUGUGCUAAACUAGGCUAACAGUUCUAACCUGUUUCCAGUCUUUGUGGUAAGCUAAGCUACCUUGGAGACUAUUUGUCUGUGAGUAAAACGUGUACAUAAGCACAAAUAGAAAUGUCAUGUUAGAAGUUUCUGUUAUAAUUUGUCAAGUAGUUGAAAUAUGUCAUACAGUGUUGUUAGAAAGCCCUCAUAUUUUGAUCAUGAUGUUGUAUGGGUUGCGUUAUAGUUGUAUUUCCUCCCUUGUUGAGCUAAUCGGAUGUUUGUGUUUUUUUACGUAAUGUCCUUGAACGCACCUCGAGUGUGACGUAGCUUUUCUCCAUCGUUGCAGCACAGUUGUUAGCUAGUUCUAUCCUGUGCACAUGUCUGAACUGGAUGCAUGUUGCAUUUUUUCUUCCUUAACCUGCUGUGUGUAAAUGAUGAAGAACCACAGCUAGCCACAGUUAUCCACGAGUAGCCACAGUUGUCUACAGUGCAGCACAGAGUUAUCUGCAACAACAGUAAACAUCAUUAACCUGGAAAGUCUGGCUGCCGUGUUCUUUAACGGGGACACCUUCAUACCUUGUGCCACUCUGAAAAUACCUACCUGGAGAACCCUCACUCGCGGUUAGAGGGUUAGAGUUGGAGUUAUAUGUCGGUGAACGGUUUCUGUUGGGUUUGCUCAAAGUCGGGCCAGUGGACGGCAUUUGCAGAGACUAUGCGCCUGGGAAGAGCUUCAGCUUUCAGAUCAGAGGUGACCCGGGUGCAAAAGUCAGCCUGGUGGCUGUGGACAACGCUGUGUAUCUUCUCAACAAGGACAGACUCACACAGAGGAAGCCGUGCAGUGUCCAGGCAGUACCAGAAGGAGACGCUCUGCUGAACUGUUGAAGCGUAAAGCUCAGCUGGUUGCCUGCUAAUCUUGAUUUGGAAGUAGAGGCUCGAGGAAAUGGACAAGGAAUACUAGAGCACAGGGAAAGACGACCACGGGUUGUGACCUAUUACAAUCAGCUGCAUGAGGUGGAAGAGAAAAUGCCCUGCAAGCACUUUGAUCUCAACGUCACUUUUGAAGGAUCCAGCGGUAGAUCAAAUUCUCACACUAUAUCACAUAUUUUACACGACGUCCUUCAGACGGGUGACAAAUUAAAGCAAAUGCACUUUAACAAAAAAAAAAACAACAAAGCAUUCUGACUGCUGACCUGAGUGAAUUUAGUAAAUUGAAUUUAUAAAACACUCGCAUACAAUCUCUUAAAAUACAUACGUUUUGCAUACAUCACAAUGCAAGGACUGUGUGUGCUCAUCUUCAGGGACUUUUUGUUCGUAUUAUUUUUGUUAUGUGUGUGUCCAGCUGUGCAAUUCAGUGCAUCGUUACAUCAGUAACUUCCAGAUUGUAGACAACCUGAGUGACAGAGGCUCCCUGAUCAUUCACCUGUUCAAAGUAACAUCACCGUAUUUAUAAUUAUUAUUCUAUAUCAUAUCAUUUUAUGUUAUUCAUAUGCUUUUCUUUUUUUCCAAGAAGUAGGUUUCUCAAUGCUCAGUAAAUAAGUCAUUAUGACCACAGUCAACAAUCUGAGGCAGUUUUAGGCUAUUACACAAAACCAGCUUAUUGGUACCAAAGCCACGGUUCAGAACUCAGACUUGCUAAAUCAGUGUUGGUGUCGUGCAGUGUAGGGCUGCAGCCAGAGUACUGACGAUAGUUAGCAAGAGAGAUCAUAUUUCUCCUAUGCUGGUUUCUCUUCAUUGGCUUCCUGUGAAAUGUAGAAUAGAAUUCAAAAUCCUUCUUCUGACAUAUAAAGCUCUUAACAACCAAUCUCCAUCAUAUCUUAAAGACCUGAUAGUACCAUAUUAUCCUAGCAGAACUCUUCGCUCUCAGACUGCAGGCUUACUUGGAGAAGUGACCUGUAACUUCUCUCUAAAAGUAGAAUGGGAGGCAGAGCCUUCAGUUAUCAGCUCCUCUCCUGUGGAACCAGCUCCCAGUUUGGGUUCCGGAGGCGGACACCCUCUCUAAUUUUAAGACCAGGCUUAAAACCUUCCUUUUUGACAAAUCUUAUCGUUAGGACUGACUGGGGGACCCUGAGGGGGUCAGCUGGAGUCUUCCUCUUGGACGUCCCUUAGUUCUGCUGCUAUAGGCCUAGGCUGCUGGAGGACCUCUCUGGAUGCACUGAGCCCUUCUCUAUCUAGCAUUAUAUACAAUGGUAUACCAUAAAUAUAUAUACCAUUAUUGCAUUACACUCACUCUGUUUCUCCCUGUGUCCUUUCGCCGAGUGUCCCUGAUCCCAGAGCUGGAUGCUUCAGAUCUGUGGUGGUUCUCCCACCAACUGGCCUAAUCUCCAUCUGUGGGAUGCUGCUGCUGCUGACCUUCCUCCAGCCCACUGCUUCCAGCUGCCCAUUUCCAUCAAUCUACUCUGCAUCACCCUCACUAUACUUGAUUUGCUCGUCUACAUAUUUUUGAAUUUACCACCAGCUAUAUAUGUAGUAUAUUUAAUGCCAGAGCCAUACACCAUAGCAGUAAACUAUAAUCAGUUUCCAGCCCAGAGGGAUAUAUGCGCAGAUUUUUUUAAAUACCAUGUAGAAGACUAUAUACAGGAAGAUGAGGUAUCAGUUCUUGCACAUAGAUAUACAACGGUCCUUUAUUACUCCCCAGGUCAGGGGAAAUUUCCAGUGUUAGAGCAGCAAAAAUCUUUCAGAGCAGCACUAACUACAGUUUACUACAGUAAAGAUAAUAAUUAUAAUAACAAUGAUAUAUAUAUAUACAAGAAUGAAAAAUGAAUAAAUACCGUAUUACUACACUAUAAGUGACAUCAGCAUAAAGUGGCUUGUGGAAUACAUGUAAUUGUAAAAGUGCAGAAAAUGAUUUUCUCAAAACAGGUGAGUCCUGUGAAUAUGACCAAAAUAUGAGAUAAAACUACCAGAAACAUGUACAAAACGACCAAAAUAUGAUUGGUUGAUAAUGUAUCAGUGUUGUUAUUGAUUAUUGAUCGGUUGCAGGGACAGAGAUUUGUGUCUUGAGUCUCUGCUGUCAUCUAAUCUCUCUCAUGUAAGAUCAUGUCACAGGAGGGGGCGCUACUGACCUCUUGUGGACACAGGCGGUAACGACACGACAUUAUUACUAACUGUAUAGCUGGCGACAUUACAGGUGAGCAGCACUUCCUGUUCAUCUUCAACGUAAAAGCAUCUUUCUUUAGUGUACAUUUUAUGUCAAACGUAUUACUAAGCGAUUUUGGUCGAUUCAGAAGGAUCUCCGGUGUAAACCAAGUCGUAUUUGACGACAGCUAGCUUCUCCACUUGCUCCGAUUACUUUUGUUGUAGUCUGAGUCACGUCCAAACAGGAAAUGAAUCCAUAAUGUAGCUAAUGACAAUCGAUAGCUGCGUCUGUGAUGGCAGCGUUAGCGAGCUAGCAGCUAAUCAGAAGCUAGCGACAAGCUAACUCCAGCGCUACCAGCAGCGUCUCUUUAAAAGAUGCUGAUCACGAUAUCGGGCUGAAACAUUAGACCCGGGACAGGAAACGGAGCUAGAGCUCUGUGUCUUGGAGAGAAUUGAUUUUAGAACUACGUGUGUUAAGGUAUUAGUCCGUGUCAUAACAAACCCUCGUUAGCACUUCCGCCAGCUCGGCUAACACUUCCGGUCACGAAUGCAUUUGUACAUUACCUAUAACGUGUUCAUUUCUGAACGUAUAGUGACAACAAACACAAUUUGAGGGAGUCGACAAGCUAGUGGUCCUUAAAUACAUUUUGGUUCAUACUGCAGAUUCUUCUGAGUGUCACAAAACCACGUUUUAGCCUAAGAGCAUUACGAUAGUUUUACGUUGAAACAGGAAGUGCUGCUCCUCUGUAAUGUCGCCAGCUUUGCCUCAAAUAAUAAUUAGUGUCGUUACCGCCUGUGUCCGCCAGAGGGGCAGUAGCGCCCCCUGCUCUGAUAAGGAUAAACUUUAUUGAUCCCACAGUGGAUAAAGUUCACCGAGCUGCUUCACUGAGGAGAGUUUUUUAGUUUUCAGAUAAUAUGAUGGCGAAGAAAAUGUGUUACUGCAGUAAAGAUUCCACUGAAUUAUUAUUUGAUCCAUGAUCGAGAGCACUCAGUUCUUCUCCAGUUUGUUGCUGCGGUCCGGUGAACAGGUGAGCUCCAGGUGAACAGGUGAUGUCAGCAGCAGGUCAGUCUGUGAUUGGAGCAGUAAAACUCAUCUACAUUAAAUUAAAUGUUAUGCUAAUGUAGAUGCACUCAUGUGAUAUAAACUGUGAAGUCCACUCUAAACUGUAUUAAGGCUUAGAGCCAGGAUUUUUAAGUUUUGUAUCUCUGUGUUCCCCCCGCUGACCUGAGCAGUUGGUACGUUCCACUCAGACACACCUGACGGGAUCAAACCACCGACACACAUGCCACACAGCUCCACUUUAUUUAACCUUCAAAAACCUAGUUUUAUUGAUCUUUUCAUGGUUUCUUCAUCUUUGAAUGAAUAUUUUUGGCACUAAGUGUGAACUUUUUGAACGGACUCUGCUCGUCAGAUGGAGGAACGUCGGGGAGUUUGUUGGAAGAUUCAGGUGAGAGGAAACAGAAGUAGGAUGUUAGACAGGACUGAUCUGCUGUCCUAUCCUAUACAUUGUAGUGUUAACAAAAUCAUUGGAGCCUUCAAUUGUCUCCUGCUGGUCAUACUACAACUCUUGGUUUGACACUAAAUGCAAAAUCUGAAUUUUAAGAAAUUUUUAUUAUUUUAUUAUUAUUAGUCAUAAAAUUCAAUAACUUCACUCUUACACACUGUAGCGUCAUCAAAUUCGCUGGAGCCAUCAGUUGGCUCCUGAUUAUCAUACUACAACUCUUGGUUUGACAUUAAGUAAAAAAUCUGAAUUUUAAGGAAUUUUUGUAGUAAAUAAAAUUCACUUACUUUACUCUUAAACACUGCAGAAAAAACAAACGCCAUCCAACCAUCAAAAGGGUCCUACUGAUCACACCUUCAGGUUUUUUCUUCCAAGUAUUGUUCGUGCAGUCCUUAACUUGGAAAAUAUUAUUAGCUGUUUAACAUUAGGGUUUAAAUGAAUCAGUUAAGGCUGCAGCCUCGUAAGAAAGCGUCUGACUGUCUUUCUUCCCAAUCGUCAGUACUUGAGGAGACAGUCUAAACAGUUUAGUUUGGUAUAUUGAUGUUAUCUGAUCCUCUCUUUGAUGAGGAGUCCAAGUUCCAUUACUAUUCAGUAUCAUGUAUUUGGACAAACAGGUGCACUGUGGAUCUAAAAAUAUAGCCCCACAUACAUCAAGAGAAGAGCCGUCAAAGCUAAUUUACUCAUAAUCCUUAAACUUCACACACAAGCAUGCACACUAAAUAGUGUGCACAUCUUCACAUGGCAAUAAACAACCCAAAUCAUUAAAAUUCAGUUACUUUUGCUUGUUAAUGUUACACAAUCUACCAAAAAAAAAAAAAAAUGGAUGACCACUUUUAACUGUUACAACAAAAAAUAUUUGAGAUAUAUAACAACAAUUUCAUUACCGAUAAAAAAAAUAAAAAAAAAAAUCCUUAAAAUCAUGAAAAAUAGUUAAAUAUCAAACCAAGAGUUGUAGUAUGGUCAACAGGAGCCAACUGAGUUAGACAGAGUGUAAUCUUUUUGCAGUACAUAAGAGGGAAGUUAUUGAAUUGUAUUACUAAUAAAAUAAUAAGAAAAUAAGAAAAAAAUUCCUUAAAAUUCAGAUUUUUUCAUUUAAUAUCAAACCAAGAGUUGUAGUAUGACCAGCAGGAGUCAACUGAUGGCUCCAGUGAUUUUGGUAACACUACAAUGUAUAAGAGUGAAGUUAUUGAAUUUUAUUACCAAUAACAAUUCCUUAAAAUUCAGAUUUUCUAUUUAAUAUCAAACCAAGGGUUGUACUGUGACAGUCAGGAGACAACUGAUGGCAGCAGCGAGUUUGGUGACACUACAGUACAUAAGAGUGAAGUUAAUGAAUUUUAUUACCAAUAAAAAUUAUUUAAAAUUCAAAUUUUGUACUUAAUAUCAAACCAAGUGUUGUAGUAUGACCAGCAGAAGCCAAUUGAAGGCUCCAGUGAUUUUGGUGACACUAAAGUAAACAAGAGUGAAGUUAUUGAAUUUAUUAAAACAAUACUAAAAUAAUGAAAAUUUCUUAAAAUUCAGAUUUUGUAUUUAGUGUCAAACCAAGAGUUGUAGUAUGACCAGCAGGAGACAAUUGAUGGCUGCAGUAAAUUUGGUGACACUACAGUGUAUAAAAGUUAAGUAAUUGAAUAUUUGUCUCUCUUCGCUGUUGCAGCGGUUUUGCUAUUUGCAGACGGUCCCUGUUCACUCGUUGCACAGCCGGCUGCUCAUAGACAUCAGUGCUAUUUGUGCAACUUGAAAGACAGCGACUUUUGAUAAAACUGGCCUCGUAGCACAUUGUCUAGCUUACAGCGAUUUGAAAGAGGCAUUGUUUAUGUUUUUACAACGUAUAUCUCAUGAGUUAUUGAUGCCGGAAGUCCGAAUCUGUGAAUAUCUUGCCAACUUUACCUAACUCCCAUUCAUGCAUGAAUUAUGAUAACCUCUGUUAGGAUUUUUUUUUUUCCCCCAAUUGUUUUUAUUCAGGGCUGCACAGUGGCGUAGUGGUUAGCACUUUCGCCUUGCAGCGAGAAGAUCCCUGGUUCGCGUCCCGGCUUUCCCGGGAUCUUUCUGCAUGGAGUUUGCAUGUUCUCCCUGUGCAUGCGUGGGUUCUCUCCGGGUACUCCGGCUUCCUCCCACAGUCCAAAAAUAUGCUGAGGUUAAUUGAUUACUCUAAAUUGCCCGUAGGUGUGAAUGUGUGAGUGAUUGUUUGUCUAUAUAUGUAGCCCUGCGACAGACUGGCGACCUGUCCAGGGUGUCCCCUGCCUUCGCCCGAGUCAGCUGGGAUAGGCUCCAGCACCCCCCGCGACCCUAGUGAGGAAUAAGCGGUGUAUAGAUAAUGGAUGGAUGGAUGGAUGUUUUUAUUCAUCUUUAGGCGUGAAAAACAAGGUUUGAACUUUAUUUUAUUUCAACCCAUUUUUCUAAAAAAUAUAUUUACAUGUCCACUGAGAUGGCCACCAUGCAUUUUGCUCUAGAAAUAUGGAUUUAACAAACAAAUGGAUAAAAUGAUAUACAGUGGAUUGAACUGUGAAAUGUGAUGUGAACUAUAAAAUAAAAUAAUUGAUGCAUAAAUAAUUCAAACAGCAUUGAGGGAUUCACUCUCCUGUAUAGAUUCCCAAGUCUCUCAGAUGACAUAUUUUCAAGAACAGCAGCAGUAAUAGCCUAAUUGUGGUCAAUGAAUUGUAGCUGAAAUAUAGCUGGUGAUGCAUGAUGUGCACUUUAGUGGACAUGAGAUUAAUCAUAAUUGCCUCCCAAUAUAACAUCGAUACUCGGAAAAUUUUGCAAUUGCAUGACUCCUUAGAUGUUCCUCGAUGUCGCCAUAUUUUUCUUUCCUGCAAAGGUCUCUUUUUUUAUAGAAGGUUUGAACAAAAGAAAAUGAGCUACUUGGUGUUUCUGGCUGCCUGUCGGCCAUCUUGGUUUGACUCUUUUUCUUUUUUCUUUCUUUUUUUUUUUUUUUUUUUUUUUAAAGAAUUUGCAAUGGCUAGCCAAUCACUGGCAGUGGAAGAAAUGAUGCAAUAGGAUCCACUGUAGUGGCUGAUGUCCAACUAUGCCAUCAAAACUUAUGCACAUACAAGAAAACAGCUUUAGAAGAGCUGCACACUGUCAUGACCUCUAUGCAUGGAAGGGUUAAAGGCAUCAAUAAUGAACACAACACAAAUAAAUUGCUAUCUUAUUACAAUUCUGCAUAAUACACAGUGGAGAAUCACAGUGAUAUUGUAAUAAUUGAAGGUAUUUUUAAUUGUUACUGUAUUUUUGCUAUAUUUUUACUAUAUUUUACUGUGUUUUUCCUAUAUUUUUUACUGUAUUUUUACUAUGUUUUUACUGUAUUUGUACUAUAUUUUUUACUGUGUCUUUACUAUAUUUUUACUUUAUUUUUAUGAGAUUUUUUGCCAUAUUUUUUACUAUAUUUUUGGUGUGUUUUUACUAUAUAUUUUACAGUAAUUUACUGUAUUUUUUUAGUAUAUUUUUACUGUAUUUUUUACUGUAUCUUUACUGUAUUUUAUGAGUCUGCUGUCAUCUAAUCUCUCAUGUAAGAUCAUGUCACAGGAGGGGGCGCUACUGGCCUCUUGUGGACACAGGCGGUAACGACACGACAUUAUUAUAAACGGUAUAGCUGGCGACAUUACAGGUGAGCAGCACUUCCUGUUCAUCUUCAACGUAAAAGCAUCUUUCUUUAUUGUACAUUUUAUGUCAAAAGUAUUACUAAGCGAUUUUGGUCGAUUCAGAAGGAUCUCUGGUGUAAACCAAGUCGUAUUUGACGACAGCUAGCUUCUCCACUUGCUCCGAUUACUUUUGUUGUAGUCCGAGUCACGUCCAAACAGGAAAUGAAUCCACAACGUAGCUAAUGACAGUCUAUAGCUGCAUCUCCGUGAUGGCAGCGUUAACGAGCUAGCAGGUAAUCAGAAGCUAGUGACAAGCUAACUCCAGCGCUACAAGCAGCGUCUCUUUAAAAGGUGCUGAUCACGCUAUGAGGCUGAAACGUGAGACCUGGGACAGGAAAAGGAGCUAGAGCGCUGUAUCUUGCAGAGGAUUUAUUUUAGAACUACGCAUGUUAAGGUAUGAGUCCGUGUCAUAGCAAACCCUCGUUUGCACUUCCGCUAGCUCGGCUAACACUUCCGGUCACGAAUGCAUUUGUACAUUAGCUAUAACGUGUUCAUUUUUGAACGUAUAGUGACAACAAACACAAUUUGAGACUGUCGACAAGCUAGUGGCCCUUAAAUAGAUUUUGUUUCAUACUGCAGAUUCUUCUGAGUCUCACAAAACCACGUUUUAACCUAAGAGCAUUACGAUAGUUUUACGUUGAAACAGGAAGUGUUGCUCCACUGUAAUGUCGCUAGCUUUGCCUCAAAUAAUAAUAGUGUCGUUACCGCCUGUGUCCGCCAGAGAGCAGUAAUGUGUACAGUAAAGAUUUAGUGACUUUAGGGGUCAUUUUGAAUGUUUUUAUGGCUAUUUUUGCUUCAGUUUGUUCAUGUUUUGUCUCAUAUUGUUACUUUAGUGACUUUAGGGGUCCUUUUGCAUGUUUUUAUGGUUAUUUUUGCUUCAGUUUGUUCAUUUUGUGCCUCGUAUUGUUACUUUAGUGACUUUAGGGAUCAAUUUGCAUGUUUUUAUGGAUAUUUUUGAUUCAGUUUGUUCAUUUUUUGUCUCAUAUUAUUACUUUAGUGACUUUAGGGGUAAUUUUGCAUGUUUUUAUGGCUAUUUUUGAUUCAGUUUGUUCAUUUUUGGUCUCACAUUGUUACUUUAGUUACUUUAGGGGUCAUCUUGCAUGUUUUAAUGGCUAUUUUAUUAUUCAGUUUGUUCAUUUUUUGUCUCAUAUUAUUAUCAUAGCAGAGGCUCAUGGGUAACGUGGUUCUGAGGCAGCCAGGAGCAGAGGCUCAUGGGUAACGUGUCUCUGAGCCAGCCAGGAGCAGAGGCUCAUGGCUCAAAGUCGGGCCAGUGGACGGCAUUUGCAGAGACUAUGCGCCUGGGAAGAGCUUCAGCUUUCAGAUCAGAGGUGACCCGGGUGCAAAAGUCAGCCUGGUGGCUGUGGACAACGCUGUGUAUCUUCUCAACAAGGACAGACUCACACAGAGGAAGCCGUGCAGUGUCCAGGCAGUACCAGAAGGAGACGCUCUGCUGAACUGUUGAAGCGUAAAGCUCAGCUGGUUGCCUGCUAAUCUUGAUUUGGAAGUAGAGGCUCGAGGAAAUGGACAAGGAAUACUAGAGUACAGGGAAAGACAACCACGGGUUGUGACCUAUUACAAUCAGCUGCAUGAGGUGGAAGAGAAAAUGCCCUGCAAGCACUUUGAUCUCAACGUCACUUUUGAAGGAUCCAGCGGGCUCUAGGACCCAGAGACGUCAGGAUGGUGGUUCUUGAUAUCAGUCUACCAACUGGAUUCACCCCAGAAAACUCUGACCUGGAGAUGCUGUCCAAUUCAGUGCAUCGUUACAUCAGUAACUUCCAGAUUGUAGACAACCUGAGUGACAGAGGCUCCCUGAUCAUUCACCUGUUCAAAGUAACAUCACUGUAUUUAUAAUUAUUAUUCUAUAUCAUAUCAUUUUAUGUUAUUCAUAUGCUUUUCUUUUUUUCCAAGAAGCAGGUUUCUCAAUGCUCAGUAAAUAAGUCUUUAUGACCACAGUCAACAAUCUGAGGCAGUUUUAGGCUAUUACACAAAACCAGCUUAUUGGUACCAAAGCCACGGUUCAGAACUCAGACUUGCUAAAUCAGUGUUAGUGUAGUGCAGUGUAGGGCUGCAGCCAGAGUACUGAGGAUAGUUAGCAAGAGAGAUCAUAUUUCUCCUAUGCUGGUUUCUCUUCAUUGGCUUCCUGUGAAAUGUAGAAUAGAAUUCAAAAUCCUUCUUCUGACAUAUAAAGCUCUUAACAACCACUCUCCAUCAUAUCUUAAAGACCUGAUAGUACCAUAUUAUCCUAGCAGAACUCUUCGCUCUCAGACUGCAGGCUUACUUGGAGAAGUGACCUGUAACUUCUCUCUAAAAGUAGAAUGGGAGGCAGAGCCUUCAGUUAUUAGCUCCUCUCCUGUGGAACCAGCUCCCAGUUUGGGUUCUGGAGGCGGACACCCUCUCUAAUUUUAAGACCAGGCUUAAAACCUUCCUUUUUGACAAAUCUUAUAGUUAGGACUGACUGGGGGACCCUGAGGGGGUCAGCUGGAGUCUUCCUCUUGGACGUCCCUUAGUUCUGCCCCUAGUUCUGCUGCUAUAGGCCUAGGCUGCUGGAGGACCUCUCUGGAUGCACUGAGCCCUUCUCUAUCUACCAUUAUA